AUGGCAUUCUACUCAGAUCAUCAUGCUUAUGUGAACAAUUGCACAAAUAGCUCGGAAAGUGUUGAAGACCUGAUAAGUAAGAUUUCCCAUCGAUUAGAUGAUUUAGCCCGGCAGCGAGGUAUUGUUUUUGAGGAUAGGCCUAGCUCUUAUGAUCCUUAUUCUAGAGGCCAUCCUUAUGUUGCUCCUACAUGCCAUAUUUGUGGAUUUCAGGGCCAUUCACCCGCUGAAUGCCAGCGUGGUUACCCUCACCCUCCGAAUUGUUUUGGUAUGAGCUUUGCUCAACAGCAUAGCUCAUGCCAAAACAAUUACACACAUGGGUGGCCUGAAAACCAGAAUAUGUCAUAUAGGAACAACAACCCUGAGAUCUCACUGUUUGCUUUUAGUAAUCAUAUGCAGGGAUUUAGGUAUGAAGGGGAGAGCAACAACUAUGCACCACAACAAUGCUAUUCACCUCCUACUCAUAUACCUCAACACCAGGAGAUGUUGCCAAUGGAGUUAAAUGAUCCUCCAUUUGGUCAACCAACACCUUCAACACAAGUUCCCACACAAGAUGACUUCGAUGAUAUAGACAAGCUCACAUUGCUUAGUCUCGAGUUCACUUGGAGUGCCGAAGAUGAUCCAAUUAGGCCGGUGAUACUAGAGGAAAUGAAGAAGAUCAAGAGUGGAAAAGAGCUAGUGGAAGAAGUAAGGAAGAUUGAGAAGAACAUCAACGCUGGCAGUACUAUCUCAUCCCUCCUUGAGCUUAGUGCUGCUGAGAUCUCUAGUCAUACAUGUGAGGUUCCAACGCCGUCACAUCCAGCUACGCAAGAUAGCAAGAGCCUUGAGGAAGAGAUACCUCAGAUUGAAGAAGAUGAACUAGAAGACGAGGAAAAAGAUGAUCCAGAGCUCAACUACCCAAGUGAUCAAGUCGAAGACCUUGAAGAUCCAAUGUAUACCCUUCCUGAAGAAGUAAAACAAGCUCCUGUAGUUGAAGAUGAAGAACCAGAAAUUCAUUUGCCCAUCGUCAUACAAGAGCGUGAUGUAGCAGGUUUAUCUAAUCCUCUUGAUGACAUGCGUCCAUAUGAAUUGUUUGCUACUACCUUGCAUUACAUGAUACCAUCACUUAAGAUUGAUUUGAAAACUCAUUUGCUUGGAUAUGAUGAUACAUACACUGUUGGUGGUAUCACUCUCAUUUAUGAUUGUGACACUUAUUCUCCUCAUGCUAGUCCUUUGCUUAAUGAAACAUAUCAUUCCAAUGCUAAUCUUGAGCUUAAUGAUAAAUAUCAUCCUCAUGUCAGUGUUGACCUUGCUGAUUUCUACCAUCCUAAACAUGUGCUUUAUAGCUAUGCUUAUGUAAUUGGAUACUCGAUGAUGACUUGGAGGGUAUUAUCCCUACCGCUUGCAUUGUCUCUUUUGUGGAGUGUUCUUUCAGGUUUUUGCUACUGCACCGUUUACUACAUGCUGACCAGGUUCGAGGUGACAUUCCUUGGGAUCCCGGUGGAUUCACGGUAUGGUGAUGAGAAGCAAAGAGCACACAUGAGGAAGAGCGAAGCUGGAGCUUGCAUGUGGAAGCAAAAGAAGAAGAGCAUCAGCUUAGAGAGUGAUCAAGCGAGUGCUACAUGA
Molecule: ribosomal RNA, 1602 nt
Filed under: Triticum aestivum (bread wheat)
Lineage: Eukaryota; Viridiplantae; Streptophyta; Magnoliopsida; Poales; Poaceae
Description: partial small subunit ribosomal RNA
Source: RNAcentral